Long non-coding RNA from Mobula hypostoma (lesser devil ray), 1439 nucleotides. RefSeq lists it as uncharacterized. The transcript is spliced from 3 exons. NCBI's taxonomy places the organism in Eukaryota, Metazoa, Chordata, Chondrichthyes, Myliobatiformes, Myliobatidae. The record is from RefSeq and is a predicted model, not a curated record.
CCGGCUACAGUAUAUGAUCCCAACAGACUCGCAGGUGAAGUGUCGCCUCAGCUGGAAGGACUGCUUAGCGGAGCAGAUGUGGCACUUGUUUCGCUUGCAAGGAUACGUGCCGGGGGGAGAUUAGUGGGGAGGGACAAAUGGUCAAAGGAGACGCGAAGGGAGCGAUCCCUGUGGAAAGUGUGGGGGGAGGUGUUUGGUGGUGGGAUCCCAUUGGAGAUGGAGGAAGUUUCGGAGAAUUAUGUGCUGCUGGACGCGGAGGCUGGUGAGGUGCUGGGUGAAGAAUAUGGUAUCCUGAGAAUAACCAUUCCUGCUGCGGAUCCGAUUGGUUGAAGAGCGUCUCACCCCAUCCUCCCGCCGCUCUACCAGAGAUAGGGUUCCUCUUGCCCUCACCUACCGCCCACCAGCCUUCGCGUCCAGCACGAAAUUCCCCGCAACUUCCGCCACCUCCAACGGGAUCCCACCACCAAGCACAUCUUUCCCUCUCCCCCCAUUUCUGCUUUCCGCAGGGAUCGCUCUCUACGUGACUCCCUUGUCCAUUCGUCCCUACCCACUGAUCUCCCUCCUGGUACUUGUCCUUGCAAGCGGAACAACUGCCCUCACACCUCUUCCCUCACUGCUAUCGAGGGCCCCAAACAUUCCUUCCAGGUGAGGCGACCCUUCACCUGUGAGUCUGUUGGGGUCAUUUACUGUGUCCGGUGCUCCUGUUGCGGUCUCCUGUAUAUCGGUGAGACCCGACGUAGGUUGAGAGACCACUUCGCUCAGCAUCUACGCUCCGUCCGCCAGAACCAGCGGGAUCUCCCAGCAGCCACCCACUUUUAAUUCCACUUCCGAUUCUUAUUCCAAUAUGUCAGUUAAUGGCCUCCUCCACUGUCGCAAUGAGGCCACACUCAGGUUGGAGGAACAACACCUUAUAAUCCGUCUCGGUAGCCUACAAACUGAUGGCAUGAACAACGAUUUCUUGGACUUACGUGAGAAGAUAACAUCAACCAUGCACAAUAUUAGUGCCAUUCUGUUCAUUGAGCAGGAUGCAUUUGUUGGUUACACUUCAACUCAUUAGUUCUUCAAAAAAAAACUCCAAAGAAAAAAAUAAAUAAAACAGACUGGCUAAGAAAUUCUCUGAAAUGUCUUACAAGGAAAAAAAAAUUGUGAACAUUCUCUUAAAAAGAACAUUCUGCUGGAACAUCAUAUCAGAAAACCUUAACAUUUGAAGAUGAAGAGAAAAGAUGCCAGAAAGGAGAGGUCGUAGACACCUGAAAGCAGCGGACUUGGAGUGGGGCCAGGAGUUGACGAAGCCCGGGGAAAUCGAUGGAGGACCAGCGAAAGGGAAGCUAUGAGCUCCAACUUGUGCACAUUAGACUGUUUCAUUAAAAUGGGCCCUUUUCUUUUUGUUUUACUUUACUAACCCUCUACUCAAAUUAAGAAUUAUAAAGCUAAAUCAU